RNAcentral lists this long non-coding RNA (1260 nucleotides) under Anas zonorhyncha (Eastern spot-billed duck). Its description in RNAcentral is "lncRNA (ENSAZOG00000017211.1)". The record is from RNAcentral. Lineage: Eukaryota; Metazoa; Chordata; Aves; Anseriformes; Anatidae.
GCCACAACAGUCACAAACCUCUCCUUUGAAACGGGGCCAGAAAAGCACAAACCCUCUGACUCCAGGAGGUGGGAUUUUAAGAAAAGCUACCAGCAGUCGCACAGGUACUGAGGAAAAUGGUGGCACAUAAUGAGCAGGGCACUGUGACUGAAUGCGAGAGGAGAGCAUGCAGCAAGGCACCACAGCAAGAAUGAGGUGCACCCCCAAACAAGUUGUGCACAUGUGGACUGAUGCCAAUGGAACCAAUGGAAUGUCUCUGGGUACACAUUCACUGGGACUGAGGCUGCUUAUGAAGACAGAAGUUCUGGCUUCUCUGAACUUAAGAAAAUUAAGGUUCUGACAGUAGAAAACCCCAAGUGUUUCCUCACUGCUGUAAUCCACUACAUGAAGACAGGAAUUGCCCAGCACAUGUGUUCAGAACAGAACCCAGAUCUACAGUACUAACUCUGUGGUCUUCACUCUGCAUUUUCUUUUAAUGUAAUUCUGUUUACAAGCAAUAGUGCUACCAAGCUGAAAUCCUCUAUUUUGAGGAAAAAAAAUGUUGGUGCAAGAUUUUGAUCUGAAACACCAUUUAUGUAUAUCACUGAAUUUGCUUCCAGAAUAAAUGACAUGUUUCUCAUUUCCUUGUGGGAAAUAUGAAUAUUGUAGAGGUGAGAAUAUGGCGAUUAUUUUUUCUCCAUUUUCUCUUUGGACUUUAUGUAAAAGUAAGAUACCGUUGGUGCUGUGGACAAGUGUGAGACCACCAGUUAAUUUUGCAUAGCCCAUUGAACAGUUAGAUGGGAAUUGCUCUUCAGGGUGUUCUCUUUGACAAUAAACAGAAGCCUCAAGUCUGUGUUUGGCUGCAGUUCAAAAAAAUUACUAAGGAAUCCUACACACUUACGUAUAUGAAUACAAGCAACUGCACAUUCCCAUACAGUAAGCUUGCAACCACAGUUAUUAACAUUUUGAAAUGAGUAAAUGCAAAUAAAAUGACUGAGUAAUACAUGUUAUGUUAAGAUCAGCUAUAUGAAAAGCAAAAGGAUUAAAAGUUAAUUUCAUCCUUUUUAAUUCAAGGGACAUAUAAAUGGCAUUCUGGGUAGAGUCAACUCCUCUUUUAUCAGUCCUUUGAUGCUGCUUUCUCACUGAUUCAGUUGUUCAAAUGCUACCUACAUAAUAAAAUCCUGAGUUAAUUUACUAAGAUUUUACACCAGUGCAAAUGAAAGAAGGGAAAGUGCUAAACAAGGCAAUUAGCACUCUGUUUAGUGCACUCCCAAAAUAAAU